This 434-nucleotide ribosomal RNA is filed under the name uncultured bacterium. RNAcentral's name for it is "bacterial SSU rRNA". It matches the Rfam family "Bacterial small subunit ribosomal RNA", at positions 958 to 1392 of the family's 1533-position model. The record is from RNAcentral.
AACGCGAAGAACCUUACCUACUCUUGACAUCCAGAGAACUUAGCAGAGAUGGAUUGGUGCCUUCGGGAACUCUGAGACAGGUGCUGCAUGGCUGUCGUCAGCUCGUGUUGUGAAAUGUUGGGUUAAGUCCCGCAACGAGCGCAACCCUUAUCCUUUGUUGCCAGCGGUUAGGCCGGGAACUCAAAGGAGACUGCCAGUGAUAAACUGGAGGAAGGUGGGGAUGACGUCAAGUCAUCAUGGCCCUUACGAGUAGGGCUACACACGUGCUACAAUGGCGCAUACAAAGAGAAGCGACCUCGCGAGAGCAAGCGGACCUCAUAAAGUGCGUCGUAGUCCGGAUUGGAGUCUGCAACUCGACUCCAUGAAGUCGGAAUCGCUAGUAGUCGUAGAUCAGAAUGCUACGGUGAAUACGUUCCCGGGCCUUGUACACACCG